This 423-nucleotide ribosomal RNA is filed under the name uncultured bacterium. RNAcentral describes it as "bacterial SSU rRNA". It matches the Rfam family "Bacterial small subunit ribosomal RNA", at positions 202 to 622 of the family's 1533-position model. The record is from RNAcentral.
AAGACCUUGUGCUUUUGGAGCGGCCGAUGCCUGAUUAGCUUGUUGGUAAGGUAAAAGCUUACCAAGGCUUCGAUCAGUAGCUGGUCUGAGAGGACGACCAGCCACACUGGGACUGAGACACGGCCCAGACUCCUACGGGAGGCAGCAGUGGGGAAUUUUGGACAAUGGGGGCAACCCUGAUCCAGCCAUGCCGCGUGAGUGAAGAAGGCCUUCGGGUUGUAAAGCUCUUUCAGCCGGAACGAAACGGUUACGGAUAAUACCCGUGACUACUGACGGUACCGGAAGAAGAAGCACCGGCUAACUACGUGCCAGCAGCCGCGGUAAUACGUAGGGUGCAAGCGUUAAUCGGAAUUACUGGGCGUAAAGCGUGCGCAGGUGGUUUUGUAAGUCAGAUGUGAAAGCCCCGGGCUCAACCUGGGAACU